Molecule: long non-coding RNA, 1064 nt
Filed under: Cyanistes caeruleus (blue tit)
Lineage: Eukaryota; Metazoa; Chordata; Aves; Passeriformes; Paridae
Description: lncRNA (ENSCCEG00000002979.1)
Source: RNAcentral
UGGAAGGUCCUUUCCCAAGUCAUCGCUAGUCUCACAGAGAAACAAAUUCUCCCUCAGCACAGCACUAGCAUGACUUCAGAGGCAAUCUCACCUCUGUCCUGCAGCAUCACAGUGAAGUUAGAGUAACUCACUGACUAAAGGUUAACAGAACUUUGCCUGUAGCAGCAGCUUGUGGACAUGUGCACUGUUUGCCACAUUAGAAGUGAUACUCUGACUCCAGGGAAACCAAAAGCAGCAUGUGCCACUGCCUGUUUGGAGUCAUGUGGUACUGACUGCUCUCAGAUAUGUUUGUUCCAUACCAGCUGGCAAUCAAACAGGACAGAAUACAUCCAGAGGCACGUGGAGAAAAGUUUCAUUGUGCUGUGACCAUUUCUGUCCAAGGACUCCUGUAAGAAGCAGGUGCCAAUGUGAAAACUGCUGCUCAGGGGGAGAAGAGAGCACAGAGGGUCCCGUCCAUCUCUCUGCUGCAGUGAACACCAAGUGCAGAUUCCUGGCUUCCAGCAGUGUGUGCCGUAGCCAUGGGACCACAUUACCUUCAGUUUUUAACUCUUACUAUAGCAUCACAAACCUCCAGGCCCCAUGGCAGCUCAUUGAACCUCCCUUUUCCAGUUCCUUGCACUCUAAAAAGGUGAGAAAAAUUCUUGCCAGCCCCACAAUUGGCUCAGGAUUAAACGUCUGCAAAGUUUGAUGAAAAGACAAGGUGUGAAUGCUGGCUGCUGUCAGCGAAGGAAAUGGGGCAGUUUAGUGGGUUAGGAUACCACCUACAACUUCUGUAUUUACUGCAGCAGAGAGCAGAGAAUUGGGCUUUUGGGUUUUGGCUAUUUUCUACUCAUUGGACUACAUGAGGCAUAAGAGUAAUUUUGAAAUACAGCAGAGAGACAUUGCUGUUAAUGAUGGACACAACAAAUAUUAGACAAUAACAGUGUGGUGCUAGCCAUGUCAAAUUCCAUCUUGCUUCAGCUGCUUUCCAGGAAAAUAGAUUUCUGGCUUUAAAUAUGAGGAUUAGCAGCAGCAGAUUUAGGGCUUAAAAUAAAGUAUGUAUUUUAGAUUUAUUUAGGGGCCUU